UAGCGUUUGCUGCUUCAUUAGUUUAGAUAGUUUCAGAAACCCAGAUUGUUAGGUCCUGUCAAUCUAGCUUAAUGCUGAGUUUAGCAAGGUAGUGAGAUAUAUUUGUUUUGAUGAUCAGAUGAACACAUUUUCCUAUAGAUUUUAUGAUAUGCAGAUUCUCUCUUUUGAAGACCUGUUGGAUAGUGUCAAUUGUAUGAUCCGUGCCAUCCUUUCGGUUAGAUGUCAUCGGUCAUCAUAUAAGCUUGCUACCCAUGAUAUGCCCUAUCGGGCUAAUAUUGAUGUCAGUGAUGAGAUUUUUGAUUUUUUCUCACCAUAUUGAGUCUGUUCAUAUCAGCAACAGCCACAGUACUAGUUUAGCUAGUACCAGAAGCAGUUGUGAUGCUGAUGAUGUUGCUGAUUGCUAUAUAUGUUGUUUCAGUGCAGGAGACAGCUGAAGGAUCCAUUUUGUAUUUCAGUUCCUAGGAGUAUAGUGUUUGGAUACCUUGGGGCGAAGUAAAAGCUGCACUCUCUAUUUGUUUCUAGGCUCUCAUUCCAUUUUGUAUUUCAGUUCCUAGGAGUAUAGUGUUUGGAUACCUUGGGGCGAAGUAAAAGCUGCACUCUCUAUCUGUUUUGGAUUUGUUUCUAGGCUCUCAUUCUAUUUUGGUGAUGUUUCAUCACGUGGCACCUCUAUGAUAAACAUCAUGGUUGCACUGUGUUUCCAAACAUGUACUUUUGCUGCGGUUCCCAAUGGUUUUCUUGAUCCUCGUCAGAAGAAGUCGGAUGAACCACUUGUAUAUUUUGUAGGCGCUCAGUAGGAAGCCAAAAAUAGCCGCAUUUCGUGAUUCCAUUCUAUUAUUUUCACUUGUUUCAUUAAAUUGAACUUUUACCAUGCUGCAGUUACUUGCUUUGUUCUAUGGUCAAUUGGAUUGGUGGUG
Molecule: long non-coding RNA, 914 nt
Filed under: Fragaria vesca (wild strawberry)
Lineage: Eukaryota; Viridiplantae; Streptophyta; Magnoliopsida; Rosales; Rosaceae
Description: long non-coding RNA (FVES_LNC000407)
Source: RNAcentral